GUAGAUAUAGCUUAAUUAAGACAAAAAGCGUCUAAUUAUAAUUAGAAGAAACCAUUUCUACAAU
Molecule: transfer RNA, 64 nt
Filed under: Aegista aubryana
Lineage: Eukaryota; Metazoa; Mollusca; Gastropoda; Stylommatophora; Camaenidae
Description: tRNA-Asn
Source: RNAcentral